UAGGGAAUCUUCGGCAAUGGGGGGAACCCUGACCGAGCAACGCCGCGUGAGUGAAGAAGGUUUUCGGAUCGUAAAGCUCUGUUGUUAAGGAAGAACGAGUGUGAGAAUGGAAAGUUCAUGCUGUGACGGUACUUAACCAGAAAGGGACGGCUAACUACGUGCCAGCAGCCGCGGUAAUACGUAGGGGGCUAGCGUUGUCCGGAAUCACUGGGCGUAAAGGGUUCGCAGGCGGAAAUGCAAGUCAGGUGUAAAAGGCAGUAGCUUAACUACUGUAAGCAUUUGAAACUGCAUAUCUUGAGAAGAGUAGAGGUAAGUGGAAUUUUUAGUGGAGCGGUGAAAUGCGUAGAUAUAUGGAGGAACACCGGUGGCGAAAGCGGCUCUCUGGUCUGUAACUGACGCUGAGGCUCGAAAGCGUGGGGAGCGAACAGG
This 429-nucleotide ribosomal RNA is filed under the name Bacteroidota bacterium. Its description in RNAcentral is "Bacteroidetes bacterium partial 16S ribosomal RNA". It matches the Rfam family "Bacterial small subunit ribosomal RNA", at positions 355 to 776 of the family's 1533-position model. Lineage: Bacteria; Pseudomonadati; Bacteroidota. The record is from RNAcentral.